CUACGGGAGGCAGCAGUGGGGAAUAUUGGACAAUGGGGGCAACCCUGAUCCAGCCAUGCCGCGUGUGUGAAGAAGGCCUUCGGGUUGUAAAGCACUUUCAGUAGGGAGGAAAGCUUGAUCGCUAAUAUCGGUCAGGAUUGACGUUACCUACAGAAGCAGCACCGGCUAACUUCGUGCCAGCAGCCGCGGUAAUACGAAGGGUGCAAGCGUUAAUCGGAAUUACUGGGCGUAAAGCGCGCGUAGGCGGUUUGAUAAGUGAGAUGUGAAAGCCCCGGGCUCAACCUGGGAACUGCAUCUCAUACUGUCAGGCUAGAGUACGGUAGAGGGGGGUAGAAUUCCACGUGUAGCGGUGAAAUGCGUAGAGAUGUGGAGGAAUACCAGUGGCGAAGGCGGCCCCCUGGAUCGAUACUGACGCUGAGGUGCGAAAGCGUGGGGAGCAAACAGGAUUAGAUACCCGUGUAGUCC
RNAcentral lists this ribosomal RNA (465 nucleotides) under uncultured bacterium. Its description in RNAcentral is "bacterial SSU rRNA". It matches the Rfam family "Bacterial small subunit ribosomal RNA", at positions 339 to 796 of the family's 1533-position model. The record is from RNAcentral.